Molecule: ribosomal RNA, 545 nt
Filed under: Salmonella enterica subsp. enterica serovar Infantis
Lineage: Bacteria; Pseudomonadati; Pseudomonadota; Gammaproteobacteria; Enterobacterales; Enterobacteriaceae
Also listed under: 1 other name
Description: partial 23S ribosomal RNA
Rfam family: Bacterial large subunit ribosomal RNA
Source: RNAcentral
CUGAUGCGUUGUUGGGUAGGGGAGCGUUCUGUAAGCCUGCGAAGGUGGCCUGUGAGGGUUGCUGGAGGUAUCAGAAGUGCGAAUGCUGACAUAAGUAACGAUAAAGCGGGUGAAAAGCCCGCUCGCCGGAAGACCAAGGGUUCCUGUCCAACGUUAAUCGGGGCAGGGUGAGUCGACCCCUAAGGCGAGGCCGAAAGGCGUAGUCGAUGGGAAACGGGUUAAUAUUCCCGUACUUGGUGUUACUGCGAAGGGGGGACGGAGAAGGCUAUGUUGGCCGGGCGACGGUUGUCCCGGUUUAAGCGUGUAGGUGUGUGUUCCAGGUAAAUCCGGUUCACUUUAACACUGAGGCGUGAUGACGAGGCACUACGGUGCUGAAGCAACAAAUGCCCUGCUUCCAGGAAAAGCCUCUAAGCAUCAGGUAACAUCAAAUCGUACCCCAAACCGACACAGGUGGUCAGGUAGAGAAUACCAAGGCGCUUGAGAGAACUCGGGUGAAGGAACUAGGCAAAAUGGUGCCGUAACUUCGGGAGAAGGCACGCUGACAC